RNAcentral lists this long non-coding RNA (13216 nucleotides) under Capsella rubella. RNAcentral describes it as "long non-coding RNA (CRUB_LNC004418)". Lineage: Eukaryota; Viridiplantae; Streptophyta; Magnoliopsida; Brassicales; Brassicaceae. The record is from RNAcentral.
AAGGAUCACAGACUAUGUGAGUUAAAUUUAGGGUUUUACUCUUUUAACAUCAUGUCCAGUUUUAACCGCUGAGGAUUUCUAUAAAUACUGAUACAAAAUGUGUUAGCUCUCCACAACUCAACUCACUCAAAUCCUAACAACACACAAAACAAUCACAAUGAAGAAACCUUCAGUAGUCUUUUUUCUCAGCACUCUCAUGUUGGCUGCAGUUGUCUGCAUCCAAGGACAAGGACCGGAAGAGGUGAUGGACAAGGACGGUAAUCCAGUUAAACUCGGUGAACAAUACUUCAUCCAGCCGGUGAAGACCAAAAGUAACAACGGAGGUGGUCUUGUCCCAGCGGCCACUAAUAUACUUCCCUUUUGUCCUCUUGGUAUCACCCAAUCACUCCUUCCGUACCAACCUGGCCUACCGGUUAGCAUCAAAUUACCAUACCCUCUAAUGGAAACAAUUGUUAAGACAUCAGUAGCUGUGAACAUCGAGUUCAAGUCCGACAUCUGGCCGGUCUGCAACGAAUAUUCCAAGUUAUGGGAAGUCGAUGUUUCCUCAUCAGCUCCCAAAGAGCCUGCGAUUCUCAUUGGUGGUAAACAACGAGAGAAGAAUAGCUGGUUUAGGAUCGAGAAGGCCGGAGAAGGAGAAGGAGCAAACACUUACAAGUUGACUACCGCAACCGGAACCGUUGGAGCCAUCCCUGGGACUUGGUUAGGUGCACCACAACUAGUUCAAACCAAUGAUGAUGCUAAGACCUUACUCGUCAAAUUCAGCAAGGUCGAUGAUGAUACUACGGCUACUACUUCUACUUCUCGGGUCGAGAAGUUAGGUCUACGGAUGUUCCCUUUCUACUAGUCAAGUGGUAACUAAAAUCAUGUAAUAUAAAGCCUGAGACUCGUCCAUGGCCAAAAUAAUGGGUUGAGAUAAUACCCAUACCCAUGUUCGUAUUAUCCAUGAAUUAAAUAAAACUAUGCUUUCUAGCGCUUUAUCAUGAGUCCAUUAGGGCAUUUUUAUCGCUAGAGUCGUUCGGCCCUUAAGACAAUUAAAAAACUCAGAUAAUCCAAAUAGUGGAAUUGUAAGGUGCAUUCGCUUUUUGCCGGAGAUGUUUUGAUAAAAGAGUCUUAGGUUACGUGUAAUGUUGUGAUAGGGUGUUUAUUUUUGUUGGUUUUAAAAGAUUAAUGUUUUUUUUGGUGAAUUGACGGGAGAUAGUGUCCACCCUAUGUUUUAUUAAAAAAAUCAAAAUUACACAUAAAUGUCACGUCGCUCAGGUGGACCAACAAUAUCCUCAUUUAAAAUCAACACCAAAUCUAUCGGUACAAAACUCAAAAAAUAAAAACCUAAAGACAAAGAAAACACAUAGUUAACUCGCCCAUCUGCAAGACGGUUAGCUUCCUUAUACACAUGCGAUGAUUAAUGUUUUUAUUGCUAUGGUUUUUGCUUACCUAGAUUUUUUUUGUGGAUCCCUUUUCUUCUCAUCCUUUUCUAUUUUCUCUUUUAUUUUUUCUACUUCUUCUUCUUUCUCACUCACUCACUAGUCUUGUUUUGUUUUGUUAGGUUGAGACUUGAGAAUUACAUAUUAAGAUUUUUCUUAAUUUCUUUGUCUAUUUCUAACAAAAAACACAUACGAGGUUUUCUUUACUUUAUGAUCAAGUAGAAAAAAAGAAAAAAAAAAUCUGUCCCGGUUCCCAAUGCAGAACCCCUGGUUCUCCAAUGGCCGUGCUUCCGCCUUGAAUCCAAGCGUUCCCACUGCUGGUGGUAACCUCAGCCCUUCUCCCCCAGUUCCCCCAGACCCUCCUGAUCCCUCUCUCCCCCACUGUUCCCUUUCCUCGUUUCCCCCUCUGUCUCCUAAGCCCCAAUCUCUGCAAGUGUCUUCUCUCCAAACUGCUCCUCCUGUAGGGCCUGGUGUGAAGUCUUCAGACUUGGUUGUUGCCUCAAACUCUACUACUACUGAUGUUGUGAUGCAUCCAGUUGACGAAAUCGCUACUCCUCCAGUAGAUCUUGGUGUGUUAAACCCUAGAUCUACAAUCACUGUUCAAGCCAUGAACAAAAGUACUGCCCCUGCGAAAUUCACUGUUUUAACUCCCAAAUCCUCUUCUCCUUUACUCACCAAUAAAGCGUCGACCUCUUCAUUCCCCCCAAACCCACCACAAACAGCCUUCCCACUUCCAAAUAAACCCUCCCAAACCCAAAAACUAGCCUCCCCAAAAACUGGAUCUCUAUCCUCUUCUUUACCUACCCCACCCCAAGGACAAACAUCAAUUGUCCAAGCAGAACAACUUCCUUCUGUUACUCCGAUUGAAAAUCCUAAAGCUCCUGGUUCGACCCCCAGUGUUCCUGGACCAGCUGCUCCUUCUACCAGCCUCCCUCAAGCCACAGGAAAGAAAACCCUGGUUGAGCGGCUGAGGAAGAAUGUGAAUAGAACAUUACAAAGAUUAGCCCCUGUAUCUUUAUCUAACUCUGGAAGGCCAUGUGUUCACAUCCCUGAUGCAGUCUUUCACAGAGGAGCUGAGCUUCACAAGGACUUCAUAAUCUGUUUCUUCAAUGGCAGGCCACCCCUCUACCAUCAGAUUCAGAGUGUCCUUAAUCAUAUUUGGGGUAAAGGCCAGCGUUUGGAGAUCCAUGUCAACCACUCAACAAGAUCCAUGCUUGUCAGAAUCCCAAAUGAGUACAUUAGGCAGAAAGUCCUUGAAAGAUGCAUUUGGUAUAUAGGGGACUCCAUGUUCCACACCACCUCCUGGUCCGCCAAUUACUCCUCUGACACUCCUGUACUUGACUCAAUCCCAAUAUGGAUACAUAUGCUCAACAUUCCUCUUGACCUGAGAACCAUUGAAGGAAUCAGUCUCAUCUCAGGGUUAGUAGGAGAGCCUGUAGAAACUGAUGAUUUUACUAUUAAUUUAGUGAGUUUGAAAGUUUCUCAUGCAAAGGUAAUUGUCGAUCUUACAAAGCCCUUACCUGCUGUUGUGGAAUAUACUAGAGAUAAUGGUCAGAUUGUUGAGGUUGAAGUGGAAUAUCCUUGGUUGCCUCCCACUUGCUCACAUUGUAAAGAGUUAGGCCACAUUGUUAAGAACUGCCUGCAACUCCCACCUCACUCUGAUCUUCCGCCUAAAGAUGAUGUUCCUGCAAAGACAGACAAAGCUACCUCUACUGCUGAUAGCUCAAAAGACAAGGGAGAGCAAUCUGUGCCUCUCUCUUCUACCAUUUUUAUUCCUGUGAAAAGGAAAAAGAAUGAUAUCAAGGCCACAAAUGUUUCAAAACCCUCUACUUCCCAAACCCCCUCAAAGCCCCCCUCAUCUUCCACAAACCUUUUUGCACCAUUAUCCCAUCCAACCCCCUCUUUAAAUACUCCUCCCCCAAAACAGUCUAAUCUCACAAAAAACCCCACAAAAAACCCCACUAAAUCAGUUAUUAUCCCUUCCCAACCCUCUGCUAACUCUGUCCCACAAACCCCUGCCACCAUAAACUCCCUUUCUCCUGCACCCAAGACCACCAUUGUCUCUCCAGUGGUCCCCACUCACAUUAAACAGCUGCCAGUUGUUGUUGGACUUCCUGCCUCUAUUACUCCCUCUGGCCUCCCAUACCCCCACUCUCCUCCCCCUGAUCAAAGGCUUAAUUCAUCUCUUAAAAGAUCCCGUUCUCACCCCACCCUUUCUGAUUCUCCCCCUCUUUAUUUGGACCCCCAUCCACCCCUUUUGACCCCCUUUGUUACUGAACCAGUCACUUUUUUGUCCCCUUCUCUUGUCCCUGAACCUGCUAAGGAUGGUUCUGUGCCUCCUUUGGUUGAUCCCCCCCCUCUAUCCUAAUGGAUACAAAAAACUUUUUUUGGAACUUCCGUGGCCUAAAUGACCCGGAUAAGCAUCAGCCCUUAAAUAAAUGGCUUAGUAGCUAUCAACCACUUUUUGGCGCACUUUUGGAAACGCAUAUAAAGGAUCUUAGUUUGAACCAGAUUAUGAAUAAAGCAUGUCGUGGAUGGAAUUUUACUUCCAAUCAUUUGUCGGAUGAAGAUGGUAGAAUCGUUAUCAUAUGGAAGGAUCCGGCCUCAGUUCGAGUGUUGCACCAGUCCAAGCAGUCUCUAACCUGUGAAGUAAAUAUUGCCAACAAACUUAAGUUUGUGUUCACUGCGGUGUAUGCAUCUAAUCUAAGAGAGGAAAGAACUGACCUUUGGGUGGAACUUCUCAACCUCCAGCAAUCUUUCUCGUUAGAUUCUUGUCCCUGGCUUGUUGGGGGUGACUUUAAUCAGAUUGUCCAUUAUGGGGAACAUUCCUCGCCCACAGUCAAUUCCAUCACUCCCCCAAUGGUUGAGCUGUCAGACUGCCUUUCUCAGUUGGAGUUGUUUGACUUGAGAUCUCAGGGGCCAACCUUUACGUGGAGUAACAACCAGCCUCUAUCCCCUGUUGCAAAGAAGCUUGAUCGUGUAUUGGUGAACCAUCACUGGAUCUCUUUAUUUCCAGACAGCACUGCCACCUUUUUACCUCCGUUUCCCUCUGACCAUGCCCCAAGCCUUGUAAACCUUGCUUAUCAACUCCCGAGAGCUGGUACCAGACCUUUCAAGUUCUUUAACUACCUUACCAAACACCCAAACUUCCUUCAGUUAGUGGAUGAAGCCUGGAUUCAAGCCGGAAGCUUUGCUUCAAAUCUCACAGACCUGUGUUGGAAGCAAAAGGCUAUUAAAGGAGAACUAAAACACUUAAAUAGAGAGCACUUUUCAGACAUUCAAAUGAGAGUUAGUGAGGCUAACCGUUUGUUAUUGGAUGUACAGGUACAAGCUCUGGCAAGCCCAUCACCUACCAUCUUUCAGCUGGAGAGAGACACUCAUGAUAAGUGGCACUUUCUAAGGAGUAUUGAGGAGAGUUACUUUAAGCAAAAGUCAAGAAUAAAUUGGCUUAAAGAGGGAGACCUGAAUACCUCUUAUUUCCACAAGAUCUGCCAGUCGAGAGCAAGUUAUAACACUAUUCGCUCGUUUCUGUUGGACUCUGGUGCUCUGCUAACGGAUCCUGUGCUUAUGAGCACUCAUGCAAUCACCCACUUUAAGUCUAUCUUAGCUCCUGAUCAUCUUGCUCCUCCUGCUCAGUGGUCUUCUCUUCAAUGGUUCCAAGAGUUAAACCCUUUCAGAUGUCCACCAUCCCAGUCCAGAGCUAUGUUACUUAUACCGGCUCACUCUGAAAUAGCAAGAAUACUAUUCAAACUCAACCCUAACAAGGCCCCUGGACCGGAUGGAUUAACUUCUGGAUUCUAUAAAGCAACUUGGGGAAUCUUAGGCGAUGAAGUGGUUACCUCUAUCAGUCGCUUCUUCCUCACCUCUUUCAUGCCAGCCUCCACAAAUGCCACCAUCCUCACUUUGGUGCCCAAACAUUCUGGUGCCUCUAGAAUUGUUGACUACCGUCCCAUAUCCUGUCUCAAUACUCUCUACAAAGUUGUCUCCAAGCUCCUGGUUGCUAAGCUCAAGCCAAUUCUCCCCUCUCUCAUCCUACCAAAUCAAACGGCCUUUGUUCAAGACAGACUACUCCUUGAGAACACCAUCCUUGCUGCUGAGAUUGUUAACGGAUACCAUAAAAACCAGGGCCCCAAGAGAGUGGUUAUUAAGGUUGACAUUGCAAAAGCUUUUGACACGGUUUCUUGGGAUUUCCUCUUCCAGUGCCUCCGGGGUCUUGAACUUCCUGAGUUGUUCCUCAACUGGCUCCAUGCUUGUGUCUGUUCACCAAGUUUCAUGGUUGGUUAUAAUGGUACAGUUCAAGGUUAUUUCAAAGGUAAAAGAGGUCUUAGGCAGGGAGACCCUCUUUCCCCUUACCUUUUUGUAAUAGCUAUGAACACCUUAUCUCUAAUGCUUAAUAAAGCUGCAGAAGAGGGAAGGUUCAAGUAUCAUCACAACUGUGAUAAGGCCAAACUCACUCACCUCUGUUUUGCGGAUGAUCUUCUCAUCUUCUUGGACGGUUCCCUCAGUUCUGUUCAGGCUGUCCUCCAUGUUCUGAAAGAGUUUGAGGAAAGAUCAGGCCUUGCCAUCAGCAUUCAUAAGUCUUCCUACUUUGCUGGAGGGCUAUCAGAUGAGGAAACAAACCUCAUUACUACAGUGACUGGACUCCCACUUGGUUGUCUCCCGGUUCGCUAUCUAGGAGUCCCUCUAUGCACAAAAAAGCUAAACAUUCAAGACUGUGAACCUCUACUGCAACAAGUCAAAGGAAAAAUCAAUAGUUGGACUACUAAAUACCUAUCUUUUGCAGGGCGAUUGCUGCUAAUCAACACGGUUAUUGCAGGAAUCACAAACUUCUGGUGCUCCUCUUUUGUCCUGCCUAAGCUCUGCAUUCAAAAGAUAAACUCAAUCUGUAGUGCCUUCCUAUGGAAAGGAAAUCUAGAAGGACAUCACUCUGCUAGAGUUUCUUGGGAGAAGAUUUCAAAGCCAAAGACCCAGGGAGGAUUGGGAAUUAAAGACCUCACCAGCUGGAAUAGGGCUUGCUCCAUAAGACUCAUCUGGCUUCUUUUCUUUAGAUCGGGAUCUGUUUGGGUAGCUUGGUACAAGGAACACUUCCUGCGUGGGUCUUUGAACAACUUUUGGACUAUGAAACAAAGACCAGUUUACUCAUGGUUAGCAAAUAAAUUGUUGAAAAUCAGAGACGUGUGCUAUAAUUGGAUAAAGAUGCGGGUUGGGAAUGGUCUUACUUGUAGGUUCUGGACGGACAACUGGUCUCCUUUUGGACGGCUCUCGACCUUCCUCUCCGAUACUGCAACCUCAAGACUUGGAAUUCGCCAACAGUCUACUCUUUCUCAGCUGUACAACCGGGGCACAUGGAUGCUACCAAACCCCAGAUCAGAUACUCAACUAUCUCUCCAUAUCUUCCUCACUACGCUAUCCUUAUCUAACUUUGAUGACCACUACGAAUGGGAACUAGAUGGGAAGACCUAUACACGCUACUCUACUGGGCAAGUCUAUCGAGCUAUCACUAUGCAAUCGCCUUUGGUUCCUUGGAGAGAAGUCGUCUGGUUCUCCGGGAGCAUUCCAAAACACAGUUUCCUCACUUGGCUUUUGGUUCAGAAUCGGUGUCCCACACGAGAUCGUAUCCUGGGAUGGGGGCUUCAAACGGAUCCAUUAUGCCUCCUCUGUGGCUCUUCACCUGAGUCUAGGGACCAUAUCUGGUUUGACUGCGGAUUCGCUUGGUCCAUCUGGGAAAACAUAGCAAGUCGAUGUGGGAUCUCUCCCCUGAGAUCUUGGGAGGCAUCGCUACACCAUUUGCAGGGGAUGAACGGGGAUAAAGCUCGCCGGCGAUUAACCCUUCUUGCUUGGCAGUGUUCCCUUUACUUGAUUUGGGCGGAGAGGAACAAUCGACUCCACCGUUGCUCUUUCCGAUCAGUGGAUGAUCUCCUCCGACAAAUUGAUACAACUAUCAGAAAUCGGAUUGCCUCGUACAGAGAUUCGAAUUCUUCUAUUGCUUCGCUUAUGCUGCAACAUUGGUUCUCCUCUGCUUGAUCUUCCGACAUUUGUCGUCUACUAUUCCAUCAACUAGGGCAUGCUACUUUCUCUAGGUUCAACUUAAGAUCCAUUUGUGUUUGUUUUGUGCUAUUCGGGCUAGGCCCACAUCAAAAAACUACUAAGGCUGGGCUUUUGUAAUCUUUUUCUUUUCUUUUUGCAAUUAAUAGAAAGCCUGUUACAAAAAAAAAGGUUUUCUUUACUUUAUUUCUAUCCCUUCAAAUUUUAAAAUCUUCAAAUAACAAAAAAAAUACUUUAAAAUCUUCAAUAUUUCUAUUCUUGUUUUGACUAAUUUUAUAAUUUUUUGUUUUGUUUGAAACUAAUAGUAUGUCAUCAACAUAUCUUAAAACCUUAAUCUAAAUAUGUUUUAUGUUUAUUUUUAUAAUUUUCAAUUUAUUAAUUAUUUAAUUAAUUAAAAAUUUAUUAAUAAGUUUUACAUUAUUUUAUUAUUAAAAAUUUAAGAUCUUACAGGUUUAACCAAUAAUAACCUAUAUAUCUGUGGUUCUUAACUUACACUUUUACAUUAUUAAUAUACAAAAAAAACUCUAAGUUACAUCUUAAAGCUUAUGCCUUUAAAGAUGCUCUUACUAACGAGAUUGUCAUAAAAUCAAUUAUGAUAUAAAUAUAAUUAAAUUACAUAUAAAUCACAAGUAGCAUAUAAUUAAGUAUGAAAUUGAUAUUUUUGUAGACAAACUUAUGAAUUUAAUCAAUCUGUGUUCAUCCGAUGAAUAUAUCAAAUCAAAGGAUAUUGCUAUCUCAUGUAAAAUUAUAAUAUCAAUCAAAUACAAAUUUAAAACCGAUGUAAUAAAGUAUAUCCAAUGGAGAAAAAAAUGAAAAAUGAUUUACGAAGUGAUGGUCUUGUAGUUGUUAUCAUAAUUAGUUUGUUUUACACUUUUCCUAUAUAAACAUUUAUUACAAAAGUAAUUUUAAAAUCUCAUUAGGGUCUUUAGUUAGCGAACUCCAGAAAUUAAGUUUUUUUUUGUUGAGAGAGAAAGAGAGAUUGAACGUACGUCACAAAAUAAUGUCUCUGAGUACACACGGUGAUGAGUCAGACAGUCUGAUCGAUCGCCAUGGUCCAUCGAAAUGAAGGGCUUGGGACCUUUUUCAUUGGAAGGUUAUUUAUGAAACGCGCCAAGUGGUAAGAAAAUAAAUAAAUGUAUGGAUACAAAGAUAUUGAGAAUUACUCUUACGUCGGUUCACUCGUCCCUAUCUCUCUCAAGUAUGAAAUCUUGUCUUUUUCCCAUGAAUUAUUUGAACGGUUUUCAUAAGCCUAAACCCUCUUUUCUUCAUAUUGUUUGUUAACAUGGACCAUUGUGCAUUUUCCUCAUGCUGAAAAUCCAAGUUUGAAUCAGUAACAGAAGAGUCUAAAGCCCUUUUUUCAACCCUCACUGUUGUAGAAAGUAAAAAAAAAAAAAAAGAUUCUCCUUAAUUUACUGAAUAUAAUGCCCUAUUUUUAACCGCUGAGGAUUUCUAUAAAUACCAAUACAAAAUGUGUUUAGUCUCCACAACUCAGCUCACUCAAACCCUAAAACACACAAAACCAUCACAAUGAAGAAACCUUCAGUAGUCUCUUUUCUCAUCACUCUCAUGUUGGCUGCAGCUGUCUGCAUCCAAGGAAAUGAACCGGAGGAAGUGAAGGACAGGGACGGAAAUCCAGUUGAACUCGCAAAUCAAUACUUCAUCCAGCCCGUGAAGACCGAACGUAACAACGGAGGUGGUCUUGUCCCAGCGACCGCUAAGAUAUUUCCCCUUAUCUCUUGUCCACUUGUUGUCACCCAAACAAUCCUUCCACUCCAACCAGGCGUUCCGGUUAGAUUUGCUUUACCGCUUAGCGAAGCAGAAGUUAUUUCGACAUCUUCCGUUGUAACUAUCGAAUUCUAAUCCAACUUCUGGCCGGUUUGCAACGAGUUCUUAAAGUUAUGGAAAGUGAAUGAUUCCUCAUCAGCUUCCAAGGAGCCAGCAAUUAUCAUAGAUGGUACUACACCUCAGGCACAAAACAGCCAGUUUAAGAUUGAGAAAGCCGCAACAGGGGAAAACACUUACAAGUUGAUCAGUGUUACCGGAGCAGGAACUGUUGGAGCCAUCCGAGGGAGGUGGUUUGACGCACCACAACUAGUUCUCACCAAUGAUGAUGCGAAGAUCAUAGCCGUCAAAUUCAAAAAGGCUGAUGAUGCUACUACGGUUACUACUUCUACUUCUCGUGUUGAGAAGUUAGGUCUGAAGAUGUUCCCUUUCUACUAGUGAACCAGUCAAAAUCAUGUAAUGUAAAACCCCGAGACUCUUCAUGACCAUGGCCAAAUAUAAUGGAUUGAGAUAAUUCUAUGUCAUUAUCUUUCCAUAAAUUAAAUAAAAACAUGUUUUCUAGCACCUUAUUAAUUAUGCAUCUCGCCCUUGUCAUUGAGCUUUGCUAACAAAGGAAGAAGGAAAUGGAAUAGUUAAAUUUUGAGGAAAAACAGGAAAAAAUAAAAAAUAUAUCAAAUAACCUAGGGUUUCCCUAAAAUGAUAUUAUUUGUUAGUUCGAUUUCAUAUAAUGUUGUUCUUUGAUUAGAAUAUGAAGAUGAUAUAUAUGUAUUGGUUUAAAAAGCAAAAUAACUAGUACAUAUAAUAUCCGUUCAAAACAGGCAAAUCACAAGUAAAAGUUUCCGAUCAGUUAGUAACUAGCCAUGUUGUGUGCUCUCGAAUUUUAGGCGUAUGGACGUAUGGUCCUUUGAGAAUUCCCAAAAUCAACAUGCUAUAUAUAUUCAUAUAUAUAUAUGCUAUAUAUACAUAUAGAGGGAGAUUGAACUGGACAUAAAUAUUCAUAUAUAUGCUAUAUAUACAUCCGAUAGAAGUCUAUACAAUAUUUCAAGUAGAACAUGCUACCUCUCUUUAAUAACAUGAUUUGAUAUAUGGUACGUUAUACUAUUUCUGGAUCUGGAAGUCUAUUUAAGUGGGCUUGAUAAAUCAUGAUGACUUGAAGGGAUUUUAACAAAGACAAAAAUGAAUUUGUUGUCGCUCAUUUGUUUUCUUGUAAGAACAUACACAUGGUGGGAGUCAUUUUAUUUUGUUUUUGGUUCAAGUGGGAAUAAUAUUUGUUCUUGUUUCAACCAAACUGUACAAAGAAAGGAUGUGGGCAGAAGCAGAGAUGUUUGAAAAUAAUGCGUACGUUGGUUCAGUCAGAGAGAUAGAGACCAUUGGGCAUUUUCUUCCCAUCAAUUGAUUUGGUAUCGUCCUUUAUACUAGCAUAUAUGUUAAUUAGUCGACAUGAACCAUUUGGGCAUUUUCCUCGUGUUGAAAAUCGAAGUUAGAUUCGAUUUCCAUACAGUUAUCUAAUUGAACCCUUAUAAUUUUAAUUAUUAUGUUUCUAGAUAAAAUCAGAAAAUCUAUAACGAAUAUAAAGCAGAAACUUUAUGCUUUUGAACUCUCUUGUGGUGGGUGCACCAUGCAAAACAAAAAAUUGUCGCUUGUGUUGAUUAAUACUUCAUUUGAUUGGGAUCUCUAUUAUUUAUCUAAUCUUUUUAACUGGAUUUCAAGUUAAAAUAAUUAAAAAGCUUUAUUAUAUAUCUAUUUUUUAAUUGGAUUUAAAAGUUAUCAUAACUAAAGAAAAGCUCUGAAUUUAGUGAAAACAUAACUUAAAACGCAUAGAAAAACAACUCGAAAUUGAUCAGACAAAAUAAAUCAGUCAUGAAGUUAACUUAAGGAAAAAUAUAGAUAUGAAAGAAAUACAAGUGUUUAGUUGCUCUACUUUCCAGCUUUUGAGCAUAUCAUUUACGUCCGAAUAUAUAGGGAUUUAGGCAUAUCUUCUUACACCUUGUUAGAGGAACACAUACUCCUUGUUCAAGGCAAAAGAAAAAGAAAAAGAAAAUUAUCUGUACACAUAUCUUUCUAGAAACCUUCUUUGUUCGACAUCUUGUUGACAUACAUCGAACAUCAACUAGACUACUUGAUAAAGAAUCUAUUACUACAAAGACUGUUUAAUUACUAAAAUAAAAUAAAAAAAUAAGAAAAGCGCGCGGAAGCCAAAGUUUAUGAUACACUUACAAAGUUUGAUUUUUUUUUGUUUGUUAAACUGUAGAUAUGUUGAAAGCAUUAAACUAUAAGUGUGUAAUAGAUCAUACUAUAAUAUGAUUAAAUACAAUAUUCAUCCUCGAAAGGCUAGAUAUUCCAUCUCGGGCAAAUCCAUGGAUUUUGUCGAGACCAUAAUCAGACCAUGUUCAGUCCCUUCAGUUUCCUUCGUAUCCAAGCAAAUCAACAAUUCUUGGUCUACGUUAAACCCCUUUUUGCUCUUACCAUUAGCUGCGAUUUCUAUGUAUACACCAUACUCGAGAUCAGACGCCUAUAUAUAGCUAUAACCCCGUUCAUUAUUUGGAAUCAUCAGUUUAUUCCUACCAUAACCAUGGCUGAGAUUCCAGCAAAGAAACACCCUAACUCGAAAAACCGGAAUAGCUUUACCACUAAAUGCUCUUUCUUGGUGAAACAGCAUCGUGCCCGUCUUUAUAUACUCCGCCGCUGCGCCACCAUGCUCCUCCGCUCCUACAUUGAUCACGAGGACGACUAAACUUAUUUAUAAUAUAUACCCUUUCUAUAUAUAUCUGGCUAAAUUCAUAUUUUAGUUGAUCUCCGAUUCAUCAAGAGAGUCUCGUGGGUUUUUUUUUCUUUUUUUUCUUUUUUUUCUUCAACAUGGAUUAUGAGCGCCUACGUAAUACUUGCUUCACAAGUGACUUAGAAAAGACGUUUUAUGAAGGAUUUUAAUCAAUUUUUCCGCUCGCAAGAUUGACAUUAUCUUCGGUCGGCCACGAUUUUGCAAGAUGCAUGAAGACAGAGUAAAAAGAGGAUUACUGGUUCAUCAUUAAUCUAACCAAACAGUAUUUUUCCUUCAAGUUUAUUUUCUCUCCCUCUUCUUUAUUGGUUGAUUUUGUAAUAUGAGUGUUGGAAUAAAGAUUUUUAUCAACAAAAAAUAGAAAAUAUGUAAUAGAGUGUAAAACCAAUAUGAUUUCAUAUUGAAAACUGAAAAUCCUUUAAUAUUUUUUUCGGUAUACUACAUUACUACAACUAUAAUAGACAACGUGGUUCUCUGUGAAUGGCUCUUGAGGAAUGGGAGAUCAUAGUAGAGGAGACACGUAUUGUAUUAAUGCUAUAGCAUAUGUAAAGUGUCAACUUCCUCUUCUUCGCUUCUUCUGUAUUAUUCACACUCACACAUAGACAAGUUUGACUCAGCUCAUUUCUUGAUCUUCUUGAUCUUGUGGUCGCUUUAUUAUUUUUGUUCUUUAGAAAGUCGACUUAUUAUUACUAUAGAGAUUUUGAAUUGUUGUCGUUCAAAAUGGGAUGAAAAUAUCUGGUUUGUGCACAGAAAUUUUCAUAUUUUUUUUUUAUAUAGUAAGUUCUUUUAAAAUAAUAGAGAAACGACCAAUUGUGGCCAUAAAUUAAGAGAGAUGUGUGUGGGGGAUCAUAUCGUACGUUGUUUCACUAAUUUUAUCUCUCUGCUUUAGAUACCUUGCCGUCCUCCAAUUUAUUGAUCGUCUCUUUCUUUGUUAGUUAACAUGGACCACUCUACAUGUUCCUCGUGCUGAAAAUAAUCGAAGUCUGAAUUUAGGGUUUUACUUAGCAAAAUGGGAGUUAGAUAUUUCUCUUUUCAGUUUUUACUGGUAUACCCUGUUUUAACCGCUUACGAUUCUAUAAAUACCGACACACAAUGUGUUUGGUCUCCACAACUCAACUCAACUCGCUAAAACACAUAAAACAUUCAAAAUGAAGAAACCUUCAGUAGUCUCUUUUCUCAUCACUCUCCUGCU